Molecule: non-coding RNA, 182 nt
Filed under: Planctomycetota bacterium
Lineage: Bacteria; Pseudomonadati; Planctomycetota
Description: 6S RNA
Rfam family: 6S / SsrS RNA
About the family: E. coli 6S RNA was the first non coding RNA to be sequenced, but its function was unknown until recently.
Source: RNAcentral
CGUACUCUACUGAGCGCGACAGCACAGGACAAGUUUGAUUUGAACCUAAUUUGAACCCUGGGAGGCUUAUUCGCGAGAGUUAGAGGACAUGCCCGCUUGACGGGACGUCCAGACUCCGCUGAGCCACCCACUUUGUCUAACGGGUUCAUCAAACACCAGUGCAUCGGCUUGAGCGGAUACUU